This 139-nucleotide small RNA is filed under the name uncultured Chlorophyceae. RNAcentral's name for it is "partial transfer-messenger RNA". Lineage: Eukaryota; Viridiplantae; Chlorophyta; Chlorophyceae. The record is from RNAcentral.
GGGAAGGACAAGCUCUUCAUUCUUCCGAUGGGAAAGAUAAUUGCAAAAGAAAAUAAAUAGACACUCGAGUAGCUUGAACAGAAUCGUUUUUCCUCAAGUCAGUCGUCCUGAAAUGUGUGUCGCCCCAACCGGCUUCUCU